AGACCCGAUCUAUUUUUCGGGUCGGGUCGGGUCCACCCAAUCUUGAUCCGGGAUCCGACCCGACCCGUUAUUAUAUAAAGCUAAAUGCCUAAAUCCUGCCUUCUCGCCUUCGGCCGCCCACGUGGUCCUACUCAGGCGCCGUACUGCAUUCUCCAGUCCACUGUCCAUUCUCCAUCAGUCCGUCGUUGUCCGUCUCCAUUCUCUCGAUCUCUUCUCUAGAGACUUCUUCCCUGGACGCUGGUUCUCUUCCCCUGUUCCACUUACCAUCCGAUCUUUCAUCCUUGAGGGUUUUGAGGUUCUUCGGUUCUUCCAUCCACCGAUCACUAUAGGUACUCCAUGAGUCUGUCCAUCUCUAUUCUCUUCUCUAGCAACUUCUUCUCUGGUUCUCCGCCACAUUCCAUCUAGUCUUUGAGAGUUUUGAGGUUCUUCAGUUCUUCCAUCCACCGACCCCCGUUCCUUAGGGUUUCCAGGUUUUCUUCUAUUGACUAAACUACUAGCCUACCCAUUCACACCUUUGCCGCUUCCAUCAACUGAUCAACCAACUCCGAGCGGUGAGAGCCUGAAAUCUUGCUGCAUGAGAAAGAUUGACCUCUAAGGCUCUAAAUCCCUCUAGAUCGACAGACUCCGAGCUUCUUUCCUCAACGAUCUAGUCUUCCUCAAACCCUAACUCCCUCAAAAGUUAAAACCUCCAUCAGCUUCUUCAAGAUACCUCAUCUCAAAGACUAAAACCCUUUCUAUUCCGAUUUCUCUCCUCUGUCUCUUGAUUUUCCAUCCUUUCAGCAAGAACUAGAGAAUCUCCAAGGAAGAGAAGAAGAAGAUGCACGUGUGGUGUGGAUCCCUCUGCGAAGAAAAACUGGUAAGAGUGGUGCUGCAGCAGCCACUGUGGCUCCUUCCAUUUCCACUGCCCUGCAGCCCAAAAAACCAAAAGAAAAAGCU
This is a long non-coding RNA of Phoenix dactylifera (date palm), 936 nucleotides long. RefSeq lists it as uncharacterized. The record is from RefSeq and is a predicted model, not a curated record. NCBI's taxonomy places the organism in Eukaryota, Viridiplantae, Streptophyta, Magnoliopsida, Arecales, Arecaceae.